GAUGAACGCUAGCGGCAGGCCUAAUACAUGCAAGUCGAACGGAUAUAUGUUUUUCGGAAUAUAUAUUAGUGGCGCACGGGUGAGUAACACGUACAUAACUUGCCCUCAAGCGGGGGAUAGCCUUGGGAAACUGAGAGUAAUACCCCAUAGAAUUAUUGGACGGCAUCGUUUGAUAAUUAAAACUACGGUGUUUGGGGAUAGAUGUGCGUCUGAUUAGCUAGUUGGUGAGGUAACUGCUCACCAAGGCGACGAUCAGUAGGGGGCGUGAGAGCGUGGCCCCCCACACGGGUACUGAGACACGGACCCGACUCCUACGGGAGGCAGCAGUAAGGAAUAUUGGUCAAUGGAGGGAACUCUGAACCAGCCAUGCCGCGUGAAGGAUGACGGCCCUCUGGGUUGUAAACUUCUUUUGGAUGGGGCGAAAAAACGGGNUUUAUCCUGGACUGACGGUACCAUCAGAAUAAGCACCGGCUAACUCCGUGCCAGCAGCCGCGGUAAAGUACAGUGU
This 508-nucleotide ribosomal RNA is filed under the name uncultured bacterium. RNAcentral describes it as "bacterial SSU rRNA". It matches the Rfam family "Bacterial small subunit ribosomal RNA", at positions 28 to 533 of the family's 1533-position model. The record is from RNAcentral.